UAGUCUUUGCCCCUAGGCGGGUGUGCCCCUUCAGUCUUGUUUUACAGGCCCGUCUAAUCUUUGGCUGAAGGGUGAACCUCAGGAGUGGGUUGCAUCAUUUCUAAGUCCCCUUCCAAUCCUGUUUUAUAAUUCUUUGACAUAGGACGUCCCAGAUCCCACAAAGUGUUUUGUGACUCGGUGGAGCGCAGACCCAUGGAUCCAGAUGGCAUACAGUUUUGUAAAGACGGGUGGCAGUGGUGAGGCCUAUGAUAUCAUUGCCGAAGAAAUACAAGGAACAAUCUUUUUUGCUGGUGAGGCAACAAACAGGCAUUUUCCACAAACUGUUACCGGGGCAUAUCUCAGCGGUGUGCGAGAAGCAAGCAAGAUUGCGGCGUUUUAGUUUGUCUGGACCCAGUUUUCUUCUGUCCCUGGGGGGGAACGUUUGAAACACGUUAGACCCCCGUUUCUUAAGGACAAAAAAAAAAAAAAAAGCCCU
This is a long non-coding RNA of Trichechus manatus latirostris (Florida manatee), 475 nucleotides long. RefSeq lists it as uncharacterized. NCBI's taxonomy places the organism in Eukaryota, Metazoa, Chordata, Mammalia, Sirenia, Trichechidae. The transcript has 2 exons. The record is from RefSeq and is a predicted model, not a curated record.